Molecule: unclassified non-coding RNA, 280 nt
Filed under: Hevea brasiliensis (rubber tree)
Lineage: Eukaryota; Viridiplantae; Streptophyta; Magnoliopsida; Malpighiales; Euphorbiaceae
Source: RNAcentral
CACAAUUUCAAAAAUCUAUUUUAAACAGUAGCACAAAAAAAGGGAGAAGAUCUACAACCUCAUGGGACAGAAUCUGAGAUAUUACUCAAAAUGACUUAUUAUACAAAGGGAAUAAUACCCCACUGAACAUGUUAACGAGCUAUGUAAUUCACACAAUACUAGAAUACGAUGACAGGAUAAUACAAAAUCAACACGAAAUCUUUGAGUGAAUGUGCUAUCAAUCAUUACGGGAUUGCAAAGUAAAACACAUGCACUUAUCUUUCAUCGCUUCAGCCUCACU